CCGCCGAUAGCUCAGAAAGUAGAGCACCUGACUCUUAAUCAGGGGGUCGCACGGUUCAAUCCCUGCUCGGCGGACCA
This 77-nucleotide transfer RNA is filed under the name Faecalibacterium prausnitzii. RNAcentral's name for it is "tRNA-Lys". It matches the Rfam family "tRNA". Rfam says of the family: Transfer RNA (tRNA) molecules are approximately 80 nucleotides in length. Lineage: Bacteria; Bacillati; Bacillota; Clostridia; Eubacteriales; Oscillospiraceae. RNAcentral also lists the same sequence under 7 other names. The record is from RNAcentral.